CUAUAGGAGCUGCUUUGUUAGUGGUAGUUGCAGAUAUGGGUGAUCCAGAUGCGCAAUGUGAAUGAGGCUGCCAUCUGAGAGUUGAGGUUGGGCAAAUCAGUAUCUGUUGAGUGGAUUGUGCAUGAGCAAACGCCAGUCAGAUUUUUGUUUAGCCUCUUUUAUAUGCAUCUACACUACAGUGGUUGAAGAUAUAAGUAACAUAGAAUUAGUUUUUAUUACAUUGAUAAACAGUGUGUGGCUAUAUUGGCACAACAUCAUAUAAGGGAUGGGAUUACCAAACCAACACUAGAUAAUAAUGGAGCUGUUGAUUUAGUUUUUUAAACUUAGUUGCAUUUGCUACUGAAACUUAAGGCAGAGUCAAACAAUUGGAACAAGGCAUUAUUUGCUGAUUUAAUCUUGAUCCUUACUUUUGCAAUAAUUUACUCUCAUUGGAACUUAUUGUUCAGGGUACUUUAUUUAAAUUCACACUGAUGAGCUUUGCAACUUGAUGGUUUAGAUGUUUACAAUUUAUAUAUGAGCUAGAUUUACAUAGAUGGCUAAUUAUUAUGGUGGUUCUAUUAGUUUUGAAUUGUAUUUGACAUUAUUUGGUAAUUUUCUCUGUCUUGUUCUUUUGAUAGAAUGAUUAUGUUCAAUCAAAGCAACAAGCUUUCUAUUAUUUGGGGAAGGCAAUUGACCAGGUGUGUUUUCCAAAAGCAUACACUUAGUAAUGAUGCUUGUGAGAUGUCUUACAGCCUUGUGUUAUUGCCAUGUUUUAGUUCCAUCCAGGUGCUCUUUACCUUCUCUGUGCUGUAUAUUUGACUGAGUAUCAUGUGAAGAAAGGUGUUGGCUCAGCUUUAUGGUUUUUUCAUAAGGCAUCAGAUAAGAUAAAAGAAAGUGUUCUUUAUGCUAAAUAAUUUGCAUCUGUUGGUUUUCAAUUACUUUAUUGGGGCACACACUGGAAGAUUCUUAUUGCUAAUAAUGCAUUCUAAACUUGAUAUUGAUUGACAUUCUCAACUUUUCCUGUUCAAUUUUCAAGCUCAUUUUAGAAAGUUGUAGUUUGCACUUGCCAAAAACUCAAUACUUAUUUGCAAGUGCACGGAUUUGUAUAACUAAUACAAGAGUCAAGUAUUGUUCUCAUAAGAGUUGCCUUUAAGUACCAAAAUUUAUGCUAAUCUUAUCAAUAUCUAUGCUAUCAAAUUGAUUUAAUUGAAAGAAUUUAAAGUAAGCUAAAAUAGCAAUUGAACUAAAAUUAACUUCAAUUUAAAAUUAGAUAGCAAGAACAAUAAAAUUAAGCUAAAAACCAAUUAAAAGGAGGCUAUGAAUGUUGAUUUCACUUGACCCAUCAUUUAAUAUUAAUUAAUUUUGUCUAAUAAUCAAUUAAAAGGGGGCUAGGGUAAUAAUCAAAUAAUGUUUAAUAAUCCUUCCCAAGUCUUAUGAAACAUUCUAAUUAACAAAAUAACUCCUAUUUCCCAAUAAAGAGCUAUUGAGUUAAUUAAAGCAUAAAGAAAAAAGAUUAUGAUAAACAACACAUAGCAUUAGCCUUCUAGCUAAAAAUCUAUGAUAAUGGUUAUCUCAAACAAGAUUCGCAACUUACAUCCCAGAAAAAUCAUAAAUCAAUAAUCAAUUAGGUUUGUCUCUAAUACCCAAUAGCAUUGAGAGUAAAGACAACCAUUAAUUGCCAAGAUAAAGAGAACUGAUCAAAAUUCAUAAGAUUAACUUAGGUAAGCUACAUCAAAAUCCCUAUCUAAGUAACUUAGCCAACUCAUGAUAUCAAAAAACAAAACAAACUUAGUGAAAUUAUAACCAAACAUGACAAAAUUAAGUGGGUUCCCAGUGAAAAAAGAAAUAACAAAUGAGAAGGAAGAAGAACUCUUAGAAGACUUUGGUGCAGAAAAUCCUCUUUCAAAUCCAAAUCCUCCAAGAAAUUCCCUUCAAAAGCUUGCUUCCUAGCUCAAAAAUGGAUUCUCUAAGUGUUUGGAAACUUGAAGGUCACUUAUGGCAGAAAAGAACCUCCCCUCUUCAAGGAAAAACCAUUCUGGAGUCCCCCUAUUUCCUGGUCCACUUUUCAAGGCUGUUAUGGAGAGAAUCUGCUCUUGUUGGAAGACUCACGGCCAGGGCGUGCGUGAUGGCCAGUCUCACGGCUUGGAUGUGGAAAUGUCUCUGGUCACUUAUUUCUUUGAUUCUUCAUUUUUUUUUUUUCCCAAAUUAUGAGCAAUGUUCAUGCCCUGGGGGUGAAAUGUUCAACAAUCACGGCUUUGACGUGACUUAGGCACACUAAAAUGGUCCCAAAUGACCUCAAGUGCUUCCUUUACCUAAUUCCCUUCAAUCCAUGGUCAAUUUUCACCUAAAACCGAGUAAAAACACCAAAAUUAAACUAAGAACAAGAAAACUAAUAAAAUUACUGUUAAAGAUAAAAAUUAAUCACAAAGGAAUUCAAAAUUUGUUGAAAACUAAUAAAAUUACUCAAAUGAACGCUAUAUUUUCACAAUAUAUCAAUCAUAAACGACACAGCUUUAGUGUCCUUGAAGUUGGGAUUGCAAAAGUUUGAUGUGGCCUUAUAAAACCUCCAUAGAAAUGCAUCUUUUAACUUUUGGAGUUAUUUAUGUGCAUAGGGAUUAAUUGGUGAUAAAAGAGCUCCAGAUUCCUUGGAAUUGAAAGGAGGAAUUAUUCAGCAUUAUUUCUUUAUAUCACCUUACUAAGUUGAGUUCAUUGUAUUAUUUGAUGAUAAAUGAUAAGCAUUUGAAAAAAAAAAGUUGUGAUACAAUAGGUCACUGAUUUGUAUGACUUUUUGGAAAUUUAGAAAAAUGAUUCAACAGCCUGAUGGGAGACCUCUAAAAAUUACACCUAGAUGUGCACACUGCCUGUCAGCAACUUUUGAUGAUGUUUGUUUUAUUUGUGUCAACUGAGAAACCUCUUUCUGAAGUUCCUGAAUAUCAUGCCUGUUCUCUCUGAUCUCUCGUAUUUCUCCAUUUCUUCUAUUUUUUCUCUAAUUUCAUCUCUGCCCCAUUCUACUAUCCUCUGUUCUUCUUCUAUUUCUGCUUUUCCUUAAUCAAUCCAACAGUAAUCUGGUAUUUUCAUUGUGUUCAUUCUCUCAGGAGGAAAAGAAAAAAAUUGUGACCUCAGAAAGCUACUGAAGCCUUAAAUUUGACAUAAGUUGACUGCCUUUAAUAGUGUCUAGGAAUAGGCAACCCAUGGCCACGUAACUGGGCUUUUGGCUUUUCAGUGUUUUUAUGCUGCAGUAUGCUACCAUGCUUGAUGUAUAUGAUGGCAACAGAUAUAUUUUUAGAGUGCCUUUGAUUAAAAAAAGAAAGGGGAAGAAAAAAGGGUUUCUUUCACUGUCUGAGAAGGAAAAUGAAAAUGCUGAAUUUCUAAAUUUUUGAACCUCAUUGUUAUUUGUUAAUGCAUCAACUUCAUAUGGACCUCUCCUCGUAUUAGCACUUUUUGCAGGGGCAUGCUGGUGCAGCUAUAGCAUAUCGAUCUUUCCUUCUUAGAGAUUAGCUGGUCCUGCCUUUUUUGGCAGUUCUGUACUUCUGUUAGAAUUCUAUGAUUUUUAGUAAUAAUUUCCUCCCUUUUUGAUAUGUAAUCAAUCAAUACACUCACAUGAACACGUUCUGGUUAAACCCAGAGCUGAGAGAAUUCCUUUUGAGGGAUGAUCCAAUUCCAUUGAUAAAUAUUUUGUGUGUUAAACUACUAAGUCUUUCAUUAUAACAAUAUUGCAUCUUUUCUUGUCAUUCGCUACAAACAAGUCAAAAGUAAAACCUAGGCUUGACAAAAAUUCUAGUAACAAGAACUGCACAAACCACAAAAAAUUGGGAACAAAAACUGCACAAACUGCAGGCCUUGCUAGCUGAAAUUUCACAUUUGCAUACUGGAGGCAAGUGGGUAAUCCUAAUCCAUCACCACUUGAUAACACUUACUUUUGGCAACUCCUUUUCUAUUUUCUUGGGGUGGGUGGUUUCUUUCAUCUAAAUGUAGUGUAACCUCUUUAGGUUGUUUUAUCCAUUCAAAAGAAUACAGAAGUUCUUCAUUUGAUUUGAGCUAACCUUAAUGGUGCAAUUCUC
This 4040-nucleotide unclassified non-coding RNA is filed under the name Hevea brasiliensis (rubber tree). Lineage: Eukaryota; Viridiplantae; Streptophyta; Magnoliopsida; Malpighiales; Euphorbiaceae. The record is from RNAcentral.